UCUCCAAAUAGUUCUCUCUGCCACUUCUCGCGAUGUUAGAGAGAGGACGUACUUCCGGGUGAGGCACACAGAUCACCUCGUGGAACACAUUCCGGUUGGAACUGCGACUAGCGAAGCCUUUCUAGGAUAUAAGUUUGUUUCGGGUUUAAACGUGGUGAAAAGGCGUCAGAGAUGCUUGUUUUAUUUGAAACCGCUGCUGGUUAUGCAAUAUUUAAAGUCCUCGAUGAGUCAAAGCUCCAAGAGGUGGACAGUUUAUGGAAGGAGUUCGAAACUCCGGAGAAGGCCAACAAAGUAGUGAAGUUGAAGCACUUUGAGAAAUUCCAGGACACAACAGAGGCCUUGGCAGCGGCCACGGCCAUGACGGAAGGGAAGAUGGGGAAGAGUCUGAAGAAGGUCCUAAAGAAAGUGGUGGCUAAAGAAGCUCAUGAACAGCUGGCCAUCAGCGACGCUAAGCUGGGGGGCGUCAUCAAGGAGAAGUUGAACCUGAGCUGUGUCCACAGCCCUGCGGUGGCAGAGCUGAUGAGAGGCAUCAGGACACAGAUGGAGUCCCUGAUCACUGGGCUGCCCCCCCGGGAGAUCAGCGCCAUGUCUCUGGGACUGGCUCACAGUUUGUCCCGCUACAAGCUGAAGUUCAGCCCUGACAAAGUGGAUACCAUGAUCGUUCAAGCUAUCUCUCUGCUGGAUGACCUGGACAAGGAGCUCAACAACUACAUCAUGCGCUGUAGGGAGUGGUACGGCUGGCACUUCCCUGAGGUGGGGAAGAUCAUCACUGACAACCUGGCCUACUGCAAGAGUGUCCGGAAGAUAGGCGCUCGUACCAACGUGGCAACCACCGACCUGUCUGAGCAUCUCCCCGAGGAGGUGGAGGCAGAGGUCAAACUGGCUGCAGAGAUCUCCAUGGGAACGGAGGUGUCAGAGGAGGACAUCGGCAACAUCAUGCACCUGUGUGACCAGGUGAUAGAGAUUACAGAGUACCGCACCCAACUGUACGACUAUCUGAAGAACAGGAUGAUGGCUAUCGCUCCCAACCUGACUGUCAUGGUGGGGGAACUGGUAGGGGCACGGCUCAUCUCACACGCUGGGUCCCUGUUGAACCUGGCCAAGCACCCGGCCUCCACAGUCCAGAUCCUGGGAGCAGAGAAGGCCCUGUUCAGAGCCCUGAAGACGCGCAGAGACACGCCCAAAUAUGGUCUCAUCUACCACGCCUCUCUGGUGGGACAGACCUCGGCCAAGAACAAGGGCAAGAUCUCUAGGAUGCUGGCAGCCAAAGCAUCUCUGGUACUGAUCCGCUAGUUCUAAUCAGAUGCCCUGGGAGAGGGUGUGACACUAACGCUGAGAUGGGAGUUGAGAACCGUGCUCAGGAUGCUGGAGGCCAGUACUGGCGAUCCGCCACCUAGAGGAGAAGGGAAUCAGAAGAAUCAGUGGAACAGGCAAAGCCAUGGCGAAGUCUGACUGAGUCCCCUGGAAACUACUGCUGUCUUGUGACGUGAAGGUGUACGACCCCUCCGGAGACUCCACCCUCCCCUCUGUUUCCAAGAAGAGGAAGUUUGAGGAGGUGGAGGAGGAAGAGGUGGCCACACCGGUGACAGUCAAAACCAAGAAACCCAAGAAAGAACCUGUGGAAGAACCAGAGGCUUCAACGGCAGCAGAAGAAACUCCAUCCUGAAGAAAAAGAAGUCUAAGAAAGCCGAGGAGGAGGCCAUCCUGUUAAAUAAGAGGAGGCGACCAUCCAUCCCACAGAGGAACUCCGUCACAAUGCAGUUGGACAGUGAAGAUGAAGACGAUUUCCUUGCCAAUCUAUGA
Molecule: RNA transcript, 1803 nt
Organism: Oncorhynchus keta (chum salmon)
Lineage: Eukaryota; Metazoa; Chordata; Actinopteri; Salmoniformes; Salmonidae
Gene name: nucleolar protein 58-like
Exons: 12
Source: RefSeq, a predicted model, not a curated record